RNAcentral lists this ribosomal RNA (474 nucleotides) under uncultured Eubacteriales bacterium. Its description in RNAcentral is "bacterial SSU rRNA". It matches the Rfam family "Bacterial small subunit ribosomal RNA", at positions 28 to 501 of the family's 1533-position model. Lineage: Bacteria; Bacillati; Bacillota; Clostridia; Eubacteriales. The record is from RNAcentral.
GAUGAACGCUGGCGGCACGCCUAACACAUGCAAGUCGAGCGGAGCCUACAUAUGAUUUACUUCGGUAAUGAAUAUGUAAAGCUUAGCGGCGGACGGGUGAGUAACACGUGAGCAACCUACCCUGGAGUGGGGGAUAACACUUGGAAACAAGUGCCAAUACCGCAUAACAUAUUGAAUUGGCAUCAAUUUGAUAUCAAAGAUUUAUCGCUUUGGGAUGGGCUCGCGUCUGAUUAGCUAGUUGGUGAGGUAAUGGCUCACCAAGGCAACGAUCAGUAGCCGGACUGAGAGGUUGAUCGGCCACAUUGGGGACUGAGACACGGCCCAGACUCCUACGGGAGGCAGCAGUGGGGAUAUUGCACAAUGGAGGAAACUCUGAUGCAGCGAUGCCGCGUGAGGGAGAAGGUCUUCGGAUUGUAAACCUCUGUUAUUAGGGAAGAAACAAUGACGGUACCUAAUGAGGAAGCCACGGCUAAC